CCUCAAAUCAGGCAGGACUACCCGCUGAACUUAAGCAUAUCAAUAAGCGGAGGAAAAGAAACUAACAAGGAUUCCCCUAGUAACUGCGAGUGAAGCGGGAAGAGCUCAAAUUUAAAAUCUGGCGGCCUCCUGGCUGUCCGAGUUGUAAGCUAGAGAAGCGCAGUCCGCGCUGGGGCCAUGUACAAGUCUCCUGGAACGGAGCGUCAUAGAGGGUGAGAAUCCCGUCUCUGACAUGGACCUCCCAGGCCAUAGCGAUUGCGUUCUCAAAGAGUCGAGUUGUUUGGGAAUGCAGCUCCAAAUGGGUGGUAAACUCCAUCUAAAGCUAAACAUAGGCGAGAGACCGAUAGCGAACAAGUACCGUGAGGGAAAGAUGAAAAGAACUUUGGAAAGAGAGUUAAACAGUACGUGAAAUUGUUGAAAGGGAAACGCUUGAAGUCAGUCACGUCGGCUUGGGAUCAGCCUUGCAACUGCGAGGUGCACUCCCUGGUCGACGGGUCAGCACCAGUUUCGACCGCUGGAGAAAGGUCGGGGGAAUGUGGCAUCCUCGGAUGUGUUUAUAGCCCUCGAUUGCAUGCAUCGGUUGGGAUUGAGGAACUCAGCGCGCCGCAAGGCCGGGUUUUCGAACCACGUCCGCGCUCAGGAUGCUGGCACAAU
Molecule: ribosomal RNA, 654 nt
Filed under: uncultured Basidiomycota
Lineage: Eukaryota; Fungi; Basidiomycota
Description: LSU rRNA
Rfam family: Eukaryotic large subunit ribosomal RNA
Source: RNAcentral